This 76-nucleotide transfer RNA is filed under the name Thiothrix sp. RNAcentral's name for it is "tRNA-Thr". It matches the Rfam family "tRNA". From Rfam's summary of the family: Transfer RNA (tRNA) molecules are approximately 80 nucleotides in length. Their secondary structure includes four short double-helical elements and three loops (D, anti-codon, and T loops). RNAcentral also lists the same sequence under 5 other names. Lineage: Bacteria; Pseudomonadati; Pseudomonadota; Gammaproteobacteria; Thiotrichales; Thiotrichaceae. The record is from RNAcentral.
GCCGGUAUAGCUCAGCUGGUAGAGCAACUGACUUGUAAUCAGUAGGUCCUCAGUUCGAUUCCGAGUGCCGGCACCA